Clarias gariepinus (North African catfish) is the source of this 125-nucleotide small nuclear RNA. NCBI's taxonomy places the organism in Eukaryota, Metazoa, Chordata, Actinopteri, Siluriformes, Clariidae. The record is from RefSeq and is a predicted model, not a curated record.
GUGUUGUAGGAGAAGGAGGGAAGGUUAGCAAACCCCCUGACAGGGAUGGAUGAGUUUCUAAUGGCCUGCAACACAGAAACAGUUAAGGCACUGCCACCUACUCUGUGACAUCUCUAAGGAAGUUG